UGAUGUUUGGCUGCCGCUCCUGGCCGUCCCAGUUCUGCACCAGUGCCCUGUGCUAUCAGGCCCUGCUGGCAGGCUACACCCAGGAACACCACUGGGGAAACUGCUCCUGAUGAAUCCCCUACAGGAGGAGCAGGUUGAUGACAUCUCACUGUUUCUCUUUCUGCAUUUCUUCCAUUAUCAAAGCAGCAAAAACUCUGUGAGGCCACAUAACUAAACCUUUCCACCUGUGCAACCUCACAGGAAUAUGCAUUGUGAUGGAUCUCCCAAGUUUCUUCUUCCUGCAGCAUUUUGAAAAAGAAGUUGCACAGGCAAAAAGAAAAAAGCAAACAACCCAACAAACCCAAUGGAUGCCAGGAGAAAAGGAACAGUCAUUUGCCAGGUUGACCCACAGAAUCCUCAAAUUCCUGAGAAUUCCCCGUCAACACGUUGUGAAAAGUAACAUCCAGCUGAGCAGCAGAACACCACUCCAUGGGAUAACUGCUGAGAAUAUCUGGAGAGGGCGAGCCUAUGAAUAAUUUGAGUGAUUAAAGCUCAAAUCAGGUGUGAAAAUGAAAGAUCAGGAAAACAUGGAAGAGAAACCACACUCCCAAGGAGAUACUCAGCUUUCCUUCUGGAAUCAGAAAAGGCUCCCUCCAUUCCCUACUGCCACAAAAUACAGGUGAGCUCAUAAGUGGUUUUUUUUUUUUUCUCCCAAAGAGUUGUCACUUUUAAAGGCACAUUGAAAUCUUAUUUUUACUUUUUAGGUCUCCCUUCUUCCAUCGGAGAUGACCUAAAUUUUGAGCUGAAGCACUCACAGCAUCCUCGCUUGGAAGAGAAAACAAGAGCAAAAAAAACAUCAGGCUGCGAAAAGAGGCAAAAUAAUAGGAGGGAAAAUUACAGUGAAGACCUCCCUGAAUAACUGGAGGUCACAAACGCUGCAGAAAUAGAUGCUGAAGUGGUGCUACCCAGAGCCAGUGGACACAAAGUGGUUGAAUUUACAGAAUCCUGUCAGAGGGACAGGUGGGCAGGAUGUGAAUCGAAGCAGUUCUGGGAAUACCCAAGAGCUCUCAAAAUUUCCCUUCAGAUAGAUCACUGUAUUCUUGGUGCAAAAAAUGUCACAAAAAAAAAACCCCAACCAAAACAAACCAACCAAAACUUGAAAGCUUACAAGGAGUUGUUCAAAUGGAAUUAAACAGCUAUAGAAAGGGGUAGAGGGAAUAUUUUAUAUGCAAUGAAGAAAAAUGUAUGGAAACACAUAUACAACCAGGUAACCAGCAGUGGAGACAACUGAACAUUCACCCACCUCAUUAUUAACAAAAAAACUCCCCAAAUGUACUUGCAGAACCAUUUAUUUUGCUUUAUUUUAUCAUCUUAAACAGCCAACAGAAACUAAGAUUAUAAUCUGUGCCUUUUUAAAAUUCCAUUCAACAGAUGUUCAUAAGCAGACUUGAGCCAAAUUUCAGCUCCCCAAAAGGAUAUUCAGCCCGAGAACUUUUACAAAUGGAUGAUAAAGUCCCGCUUUUCCCCUUGUAAUCAUUGCUUUUCUGGGACAUCAAAUCCUCUCUUAGCCUCAUUACAAGUUCCCACCAGCAUAAAAUGUAUUUUUCAUUUCCAUUUCCUAUAGUAUUGUUUUCCAAAAAUGGCAUUUUCCAGCACAAGACAACUCUCCCUCACUCCUUUUUUAUGUCAUCUCCUCAAUACGAAAGGAUCAUCUUAGUGACAAGGCUCUGUUCUUUUAAAAAGAUGAAAAAAAACCCCUCAACUGGUAUUAAUAAAUAUUUACUUAAUGUAAAGAAAAGGGAAUUC
Molecule: long non-coding RNA, 1785 nt
Organism: Manacus vitellinus (golden-collared manakin)
Lineage: Eukaryota; Metazoa; Chordata; Aves; Passeriformes; Pipridae
Source: Ensembl